UGUUAAAAAUUUCAUCUAUUUCUAUUAUUAAAAAUUAGCAUAGUUGAGGGAAUAAUAAAAUACUUACACGUGGCUUACCACGUGUACAUCAUAUUGACGUGUAGGGACUAGUUUUUAAUAGUAAAAAUAUAUGAAAUUUUUAACA
This is a non-coding RNA of Gossypium raimondii (Peruvian cotton), 145 nucleotides long. The record is from Rfam. NCBI's taxonomy places the organism in Eukaryota, Viridiplantae, Streptophyta, Magnoliopsida, Malvales, Malvaceae.